This 378-nucleotide ribosomal RNA is filed under the name uncultured bacterium. Its description in RNAcentral is "bacterial SSU rRNA". It matches the Rfam family "Bacterial small subunit ribosomal RNA", at positions 524 to 898 of the family's 1533-position model. The record is from RNAcentral.
UACGUAGGGGCCAAGCGUUGUCCGGAAUUAUUGGGCGUAAAGAGCUCGUAGGCGGUUCGGUAAGUCGACUGUGAAAUCUCCACGCUCAACGUGGAGAGGUCAGUUGAUACUGCCGUGACUAGAGUCCGGUAGAGGAGUGUGGAAUUCCCGGUGUAGCGGUGAAAUGCGCAGAGAUCGGGAGGAACACCCGUAGCGAAGGCGGCACUCUGGGCCGUGACUGACGCUGAGGAGCGAAAGCGUGGGGAGCAAACAGGAUUAGAUACCCUGGUAGUCCACGCCGUAAACGUUGGGCACUAGGUGUGGGACUCUAUCGACGGGUUCCGUGCCGUAGCUAACGCAUUAAGUGCCCCGCCUGGGGAGUACGGCCGCAAGGCUAAA